Molecule: ribosomal RNA, 84 nt
Filed under: Fraxinus pennsylvanica
Lineage: Eukaryota; Viridiplantae; Streptophyta; Magnoliopsida; Lamiales; Oleaceae
Description: partial 5.8S ribosomal RNA
Rfam family: 5.8S ribosomal RNA
About the family: 5.8S ribosomal RNA (5.8S rRNA) is a component of the large subunit of the eukaryotic ribosome. It is transcribed by RNA polymerase I as part of the 45S precursor that also contains 18S and 28S rRNA.
Source: RNAcentral
UGCAGAAUCCCGUGAACCAUCGAGUUUUUGAACGCAAGUUGCGCCCGAAGCCAUUAUGCUGAGGGCACGUCUGCCUGGGCGUCA